GGCCUGUAGCUCAGUGGCAGAGCACUUGCUUUGAAUGUGCAAGGAACUGGGUUCAAUUCUCAGCACCA
This 68-nucleotide transfer RNA is filed under the name Marmota monax (woodchuck). RNAcentral describes it as "tRNA.Ser". The stretch from base 5 to 65 matches the Rfam family "tRNA", at positions 6 to 65 of the family's 71-position model. Rfam says of the family: Transfer RNA (tRNA) molecules are approximately 80 nucleotides in length. Lineage: Eukaryota; Metazoa; Chordata; Mammalia; Rodentia; Sciuridae. The record is from RNAcentral.